AGUGAACGCUGGCGGCAGGCCUAACACAUGCAAGUCGAACGGCAGCACAGAGGAGCUUGCUCCUUGGGUGGCGAGUGGCGGACGGGUGAGGAAUACGUCGGAAUCUGCCUAUUUGUGGGGGAUAACGUAGGGAAACUUACGCUAAUACCGCAUACGACCUUAGGGUGAAAGCGGAGGACCUUCGGGCUUCGCGCAGAUAGAUGAGCCGACGUCGGAUUAGCUAGUUGGCGGGGAAAGGCCCACCAAGGCGACGAUCCGUAGCUGGUCUGAGAGGAUGAUCAGCCACACUGGAACUGAGACACGGUCCAGACUCCUACGGGAGGCAGCAGUGGGGAAUAUUGGACAAUGGGCGCAAGCCUGAUCCAGCCAUGCCGC
This 375-nucleotide ribosomal RNA is filed under the name uncultured bacterium. RNAcentral describes it as "bacterial SSU rRNA". It matches the Rfam family "Bacterial small subunit ribosomal RNA", at positions 29 to 400 of the family's 1533-position model. The record is from RNAcentral.